RNAcentral lists this ribosomal RNA (373 nucleotides) under uncultured bacterium. RNAcentral describes it as "bacterial SSU rRNA". It matches the Rfam family "Bacterial small subunit ribosomal RNA", at positions 521 to 896 of the family's 1533-position model. The record is from RNAcentral.
UAAUACGAAGGUCCCAAGCGUUAUCCGGAUUUAUUGGGUUUAAAGGGUGCGUAGGCGGACUAUUAAGUCAGUGGUGAAAUCCUGCAGCCUAACUGCAGAAUUGCCAUUGAUACUGAUGGUCUUGAGUACAUUUGAGGUAGGCGGAAUGUGUCAUGUAGCGGUGAAAUGCUUAGAUAUGACACAGAACACCGAUUGCGUAGGCAGCUUACUAAACUGUAACUGACGCUGAGGCACGAAAGCGUGGGGAGCAAACAGGAUUAGAUACCCUGGUAGUCCACGCCCUAAACGAUGAUCACUCGAUGUGUGCGAUACACUGCACGCGUCCGAGCGAAAGCAUUAAGUGAUCCACCUGGGGAGUACGGCCGCAAGGCUG